Molecule: small RNA, 28 nt
Filed under: Bombyx mori (domestic silkworm)
Lineage: Eukaryota; Metazoa; Arthropoda; Insecta; Lepidoptera; Bombycidae
Description: ovarian small RNA-16900
Source: RNAcentral
GCGCUAUGACGUGUUCUUCUUCAAACGA